This 1401-nucleotide long non-coding RNA is filed under the name Sus scrofa (pig). Its description in RNAcentral is "lncRNA (ENSSSCG00035061581.1)". Lineage: Eukaryota; Metazoa; Chordata; Mammalia; Artiodactyla; Suidae. The record is from RNAcentral.
GCAUUCUUUCGGAAUCAAGGAAGAGAUCGGUGUGCUCAUUCUUCCUACCUCUGUGCACCACGGUCCCGGGAGGACCUGGGCCCGAGGUGGGCCGCGGAGGUGGCCUAAACCCGCCGGCCGACCUAGCCCCCAGGUCCAGCCUCCGUCUGAGCUCCUCCGUGGCCCUCAGCAUUCUAUACGUUCCUGCCCCCACUUCCCAGUUCUGUCCCGAACCUCCAGCGGUACUUCUCCCUACAGGAACAUCGGUGACCUGGCAGAAGACUGCGAGGCAAAUCAUCCAUGGGGGCCUGGUUAAUAAGGUGGGAGUCCAUGUCUGUCCAGAGUGCUCAGCAGUGAAGCAGAGGUGCUUUCCUCUAAUGCCGUCAGCCUGUCCUCGAGCACUCUCUUGUUUGGGACGACGCAAGAAUCACAGUGUCCUGGCUCCUCAGCCAGACAAGGUCACCACCCCAACAACCUAACCUUGCGGUGGGAACCCAAAUGAAAGGCCCUCUACCCUGAAGAUCAGGCCCGAAACGCCUCCUGACACAUAAAUCCAUUCCCGAGUAGCCUCGCAGCUGCAGGCUUCGCUGCCAAGAGGAUGAGUCUCACCAAAAUCUCAAGGGCUUUAUCCGCUUUCUCAUCAAGGACCUGUGCCCUGGGGGACGGGACUAUCUAAAGGAAAAAUGCUGGACUUCCUGUCCUGGCUCAGCGGUUAGUGAAUCCGACUAGGAACCAUGAGGUUGCGGGUUCAAUCCCUGGCCUCACUCAGUGGGUUAGGGAUCCAGUGUUGCCAUGAGCUGUGAUGUAGGUCACAGAUGCGGCUCAGAUCCCGCGUUGCUGUGGCUGUGGUGGAGGUCGGCGGCUACAGCUCCAGUUGGACCCCUAGCCUGGGAAAUAGGCCGCAUGUGCAGCCCUUAAAAAGGCAAAAUUAGAAAUAAAUAAAAACAAAGGAAAAAUGCUGCUUCUGCUAUAAUCAGUCAGGGCUGGUCCAGGAGUGCAUCAAGGGUACUGGCAUCCUGGGGUUUCCCACCCCGUGGCCUGGCUCCAGCAGUUCCAGACCAAGGAUACUAGUCACCCCUAGAUGGCUGUUGUUCAGUGUCUGAGUGUAGCAAGAGUCGGGGUGCCCCAUGCUACCAGGAAGUAGCUAGGUCACUUGUCGCCCAAGUUCCCCAAAGAAUUGGGUCCCCUGGAGUUCCUAGAAUCCGACUAGGAGCCAUGAGGUUGCGGGUUGGAUCCCUGGCCUCACUCAGUGGGUUAGGGAUCCGGCGUUGCCGUGAGCUGUGGUGUAGGUCGCAGACGCAGCUUGGAUCCCGCGUGGCUGUGGCUGUAGGCUGGUGGCUACAACUCUGAUUAGACCCCUAGCCUGGGAACCUCCAUAUGCCACGGGCAGGGUCCUAAAAAGAUAAGAAGAAAAAAAAAAAA